RNAcentral lists this ribosomal RNA (253 nucleotides) under uncultured bacterium. Its description in RNAcentral is "partial 16S ribosomal RNA". It matches the Rfam family "Bacterial small subunit ribosomal RNA", at positions 524 to 776 of the family's 1533-position model. The record is from RNAcentral.
UACAGAGGGGGCAAGCGUUGUUCGGAAUUACUGGGCGUAAAGGGCGCGUAGGCGGCCUGUUAAGUCGAACGUGAAAUCCCCGGGCUCAACCCGGGAACUGCGUCCGAUACUGGCAGGCUUGAAUUCGGGAGAGGGAUGUGGAAUUCCAGGUGUAGCGGUGAAAUGCGUAGAUAUCAGGAGGAACACCUGUGGUGUAGACAGCUUACUGGACCAUCACUGACGCUGAGACACGAAAGCGUGGGUAGCAAACAGG